GUGAAGCUGCGGUGUAAACCAGUGGUGGAGCCUACACGAGUGAGAAUGCAGGCAUGAGUAGCGAAAGACGGGUGAGAAACCCGUCCGCCGAAUGAUCAAGGGUUCCAGGGUCAAGCUAAUCUGCCCUGGGUAAGUCGGGACCUAAGGCGAGGCCGACAGGCGUAGUCGAUGGACAACGGGUUGAUAUUCCCGUACCGGCGAAAAACCGUCCAUGUUGAACAGGGGAUACUAACCGCCCGAGACCUGCCUGACACCCCUUGUGGGUGAAGGGUUUUGGUGGAGCGCGGGACCUGAUCCUGGGAGGCAAGCGUAUUAACAGGUGUGACGCAGGAAGGUAGCCGAGCCGGGCGAUGGUUGUCCCGGUCUAAGGAUGUAGGGCGAGUGGUAGGCAAAUCCGCCACUCAUGGUGCCUGAGAUCUGAUGGGACCCCCGUUUGGGGGGAUUUGGUGAUCCUAUGCUGCCGAGAAAAGCAUCGACGCGAGGUUUUAGCCGCCCGUACCCCAAACCGACACAGGUGAUCAGGUAGAGAAUACUAAGGCGAUCGAGAGAAUUAUGGUUAAGGAACUCGGCAAAAUGCCCCCGUAACUUCGGGAGAAGGGGGGCCCCAACCUUGAUACACCUUCGCGGUGUGGAGGGGAUCGGGGCCGCAGAGACCAGGGGGAAGCGACUGUUUACUAAAAACACAGGUCCGUGCGAAGUCGCAAGACGAUGUAUACGGACUGACUCCUGCCCGGUGCUGGAAGGUUAAGAGGACCGGUUAGCCGCAAGGCGAAGCUGAGAAUUUAAGCCCCAGUAAACGGCGGUGGUAACUAUAACCAUCCUAAGGUAGCGAAAUUCCUUGUCGGGUAAGUUCCGACCUGCACGAAUGGAGUAACGACUUCCCCGCUGUCUCAACCAUAAACUCGGCGAAAUUGCAGUACGAGUAAAGAUGCUCGUUACGCGCAGCAGGACGGAAAGACCCCGAGACCUUUACUAUAGUUUGGUAUUGGUGUUCGGAGUGGCUUGUGUAGGAUAGGUGGGAGACGUUGAAGCCCGGACGCCAGUUCGGGUGGAGUCAUCGUUGAAAUACCACUCUGGUCACUUUGGACAUCUAACUUCGGCCCGUAAUCCGGGUCAGGGACAGUGCCUGAUGGGUAGUUUAACUGGGGCGGUUGCCUCCUAAAAAGUAACGGAGGCGCCCAAAGGUUCCCUCAGCCUGGUUGGCAAUCAGGUGUCGAGUGUAAGUGCACAAGGGAGCUUGACUGUGAGAGAGACAUCUCGAGCAGGGACGAAAGUCGGGACUAGUGAUCCGGCGGUACAUUGUGGAAUGGCCGUCGCUCAACGGAUAAAAGGUACCUCGGGGAUAACAGGCUGAUCUUGCCCAAGAGUCCAUAUCGACGGCAUGGUUUGGCACCUCGAUGUCGGCUCGUCGCAUCCUGGGGCUGGAGUAGGUCCCAAGGGUUGGGCUGUUCGCCCAUUAAAGCGGUACGCGAGCUGGGUUUAGAACGUCGUGAGACAGUUCGGUCCCUAUCCGCUGCGCGCGCAGGAAAUUUGAGAAGGGCUGUCCUUAGUACGAGAGGACCGGGACGGACGAACCUCUGGUGUGUCAGUUGUACUGCCAAGUGCACCGCUGAUUAGCUACGUUCGGAUGGGAUAACCGCUGAAAGCAUCUAAGCGGGAAGCUCGCUUCAAGAUGAGAUUUCCAUACACAUUUAUGUGUGAGAGGCCCCCAGCCAGACCACUGGGUUGAUAGGCCGGAUGUGGAAGCGAGGACUAACGACUCGUGAAGCUGACCGGUACUAAUAGGCCAACAACUUACACCAC
RNAcentral lists this ribosomal RNA (1803 nucleotides) under Pseudarthrobacter niigatensis. RNAcentral describes it as "partial 23S ribosomal RNA". It matches the Rfam family "Bacterial large subunit ribosomal RNA", at positions 1250 to 2925 of the family's 2925-position model. Lineage: Bacteria; Bacillati; Actinomycetota; Actinomycetes; Micrococcales; Micrococcaceae. The record is from RNAcentral.